Non-coding RNA from Paramuricea clavata, 568 nucleotides. The record is from the annotation of a GenBank genome assembly. Lineage: Eukaryota; Metazoa; Cnidaria; Anthozoa; Malacalcyonacea; Plexauridae.
UCAAGAUUAGCAAACUUAAUGCUUUUAACAUUUUAAAACAAUUUUAUUGUUAAAAACAUCGAAUUUAUACUGAUCUUGAAUUAUGCAUAAUUGAUUUUCCUAGUUAGUUUUUUCAAUUAAAAGGGCUGAAAUGCGUCUUAAAAACCAUCAUUCAAAAGGCUGAACCGUGUGCUUUAAAUACAAAAAGGUCUUUCCUUGCAUGGAACUUCCCACUCAUACUGCAUUAUGCAGUAUAUUUCUCAUAAUUAGAGACCUUUAGUUUGACAUUUACGGCUAACUCCAAACCGUUACGUAAUAAACAAUAGUGUGACAUUGUGUGGAUGUUCAAGAGGACUAAGCAAGCCUAAGGACAGCAGUAUGUAAAGAUGCAACUAGAUAUUAUAUCUAGCGUUAAUAUCUUUGCGUUAAUAAUUAGAUAUAAUAGUUCGAGACAUUCUCUCAAGCAAAUAUAAUUAACUUGUUAUUUCAAACUCUAAAUUUUUGUUUAGAUUGCAGAUGUAAUGUCUAAUGAGCAAUGGUGUAAUCGUAAUGUCUAAUGAUGUAAUUUUUACGGCAAUAUUAAAGAGAU